GAAACAAACACAUGAAAAAGAGAAUCAGUGACGACUGUUGUACCUGUUGAGGUUGCGGUACCAUCUGAGGAACCAAAACAAGAUCAAGCACCUAAGCAAAACAAAUUUUAGCAAUUAAGGUAGUAUAAUAUACCAUUAUUUUUUCUCUUUUAUAUUACGAGGGUAAAUGUGAUGCAUAAAUUUUCAACUCCAAUAGUUAUUUGGAGAUGGGUAUCUAUUUUCUAGGUAAUAAACCAUCAUCAACUGACUAUAUUAUGACUUUCCAACAUUAUUGUGGUCUGUCCAUUAGUGAUUGGAACAGAGUACAAAAAUAGAGUAGGAAUUGUAUAAAAAGAUUCCAAGUAUUUUUGAACAAUUAUUAGGUUAUCUAAGAACUUUGAAAAAGUGACCUCUAAAAAUUCUGGCAGGAAACUUCAAGUAAAAAUGUUGAAGCAAGAGAUUUUCAUUUCAUUUUGAAGAUAUGGUUCUUUGUUUGAUUGAUAGUUUUUGACAUUGUAGAGCUAUAGAGUAAUUAGUUGCUAGAGGAAUUGUAAAGAUAACUUCAAACUGCUAUUUGGAUGAUUUUAUAGUUAUGGGUAAUACUUUAGUACAACUCUAAGUCUAUUUGUUGUGCUUGAAAGAUCUUAGAUUACUGAUUCUUAUUCAAUUUGUAUGAAAUUUAUAGUUAUGGGUAAUACCUUCGUACAACUUUAAGUUUAGUUUUAAAAAAAAUGAGAUGCAAUUUCUAAAUUUUAUAAAUUACCUAAGUUGCUAAUUUGUCGAUAUUAACUUUUGGUUACAACUUUUAUUUGUAAUUUCCUAGAUGUCCUAUAAAAUAUAAUGUGGCUCUUCAAAGUAUUGACAAAAAAUGAGAUUAGUGAACAAGUCGAAUGAUGGUCAAGCACUUCCUGAUGAGUCUCAUGGCGUAGUAACAUAAUUUUUUUGUGGAUGUUUGUUUGGUGAAGUAAUGUGAUGUUUUCUUCUAAAGUGAUGUAUCCGAUCGAUACAUCACGUAAAACAAGAAUUUUGUAAUUUUUCAAAUGGUAGAAAAAUUUUAAAAAUAUGAUAAAAUAAGUUGUGUAUCUAGAUAAUUUUUAAAAUAUUUUCAUAGUAAAAUAGAAAUUAUACUUGAUCAAAU
This 1117-nucleotide long non-coding RNA is filed under the name Solanum tuberosum (potato). RNAcentral describes it as "long non-coding RNA (STUB_LNC004814)". Lineage: Eukaryota; Viridiplantae; Streptophyta; Magnoliopsida; Solanales; Solanaceae. The record is from RNAcentral.